This 490-nucleotide ribosomal RNA is filed under the name uncultured bacterium. RNAcentral describes it as "bacterial SSU rRNA". It matches the Rfam family "Bacterial small subunit ribosomal RNA", at positions 30 to 507 of the family's 1533-position model. The record is from RNAcentral.
AUUGAACGCUGGCGGCAUGCCUUACACAUGCAAGUCGAACGGCAGCAUGGAGGAGCUUGCUCCUCUGAUGGCGAGUGGCGAACGGGUGAGUAAAGCAUCGGAACGUGCCGUGUAGUGGGGGAUAACGUAGCGAAAGUUACGCUAAUACCGCAUACGCACCGAGGUGGAAAGCAGGGGAUCGCAAGACCUUGCGCUAUACGAGCGGCCGAUGUCAGAUUAGCUAGUUGGUAGGGUAAAGGCCUACCAAGGCGACGAUCUGUAGCGGGUCUGAGAGGAUGAUCCGCCACACUGGGACUGAGACACGGCCCAGACUCCUACGGGAGGCAGCAGUGGGGAAUUUUGGACAAUGGGGGAAACCCUGAUCCAGCCAUGCCGCGUGAGUGAAGAAGGCCUUCGGGUUGUAAAGCUCUUUCGGCCGGGAAGAAAUCGCAUGGGCUAAUACCCUGUGCGGAUGACGGUACCGGCAUAAGAAGCACCGGCUAACUACGUG